Molecule: long non-coding RNA, 2305 nt
Organism: Talpa occidentalis (Iberian mole)
Lineage: Eukaryota; Metazoa; Chordata; Mammalia; Eulipotyphla; Talpidae
Exons: 15
Source: RefSeq, a predicted model, not a curated record
CAUAUCUUAUCUGCACGGGAUUUGCCAAGACCUGCUGUGCCCUCCAUUGCAUGUGAUGUGAAGGUCCCUUAGACAUGGCAGCUUCCAUUGUGGUCCCAGCCUCUGGUCAGCCAAGAAGAGCUCAGCCAAACAGCUGGAAGGUAUCCUGGUUCUGGAAGAUAUAUGUGCCCAAAGCACCCUGUCAGCCGUGGACUCACCCUCAAGCCAUUUCCCUUAUGAUAGCUCAUAAAAUACUGCAUAAUAGUUCCUGUGCAAGCAUGAGAAAAUACUGAAAAUCAAGAAAAAAGGCAACUGGUUCCCCUGAUGAAUUUGCAGAGAUUCUGUUUGGACUGAGCUUUGCUAGAAGAACCACAGAGAUCAGUGAUACCACAGAAGGAAGCCAUUGGAGAAUUCGUGUGCUAUUUUAGCUGGCUCUGUGAUUGCAAUCACACAAAUCACUACAUUCCAGAGAGGUCCCAUGAACAGAAGGUUUUUCCAUUUCAGUCUUUUCAAGGUUAAGUUUUAUUGCCUCGUUGUCAAUAUAUUAGAGUUUUAGAAGGAUCAGAGAUAAAUGUUUAACUGGAAAUCAAGUAAUGAAAAAAAUCAGCUGAUUGAUUUGGUACAGUUACUGUUCCACCCUCAAGAUCUUGAAGCAGACAUCAGCAGAAUGCCUUGGCACUAAUGUUUCCUCCUGGAGCUCAGGCUAUCGUGGUUUCUUCGAAAGGGAAAAACAUUGCCCCGCCAGAAGAAAGGCUUCAGAGUGGAUCACCUGGAACAAAUAUGGCUUUCACUGAGUCUCCAGAUAGAUAAAGUUUCCGUUUUGUCACUUAUACAGAAUAACUGCUAAUCUCCACCUGCGACAAGCUGGCUCCUGUCACCCUUCAGCAUAUCCUGGCACCACAGUGCAGCUUAUCUUUCAACAGUACAAGAGAUUUAUCGCAAGGAAUUACAUCAUGUGAUGAUAGAGGCUGCAAAGUCUCAUGACCAAAAAUCAGCAAACUGGAGUCCCAGGAGAGCCAAUGUUAUAAUCUCAAUCCUAAGAACCAGAACAUCCAGUGGUGUAGUAAGUCCUAAUCAGCCCAAAUGGAUGGAGACACAUGCAUUCAAUCUGAGCUGAAUGCCAAUGGGAGGUCUAUUUGCUGAAGCCUAUCUCCAGAGCCAGGAGUAAGAGGGAGCAAGGAAGAGCACUGCAGGCUUCUCUGUCUUUGCUUUUAGCUGCAUAUACAGUACAUCAGGAUGUCUUGAUGCUGACUCAAAGCAACUGUGUCUAGCAAGACAGAAUUCUCCUUUCUACAUCUCCUGAUGCCAGUCUCCCAGACUUUUGUUCCUUUGCUGUUGACACACCAUUGUAAGAUAAAUAAAUAAGACAAUACCUAAUUCCAUGGUUGAGAUCUCUGCCUCCCAAAAUGAUAAUCAUCAACAGGAAGAAUGGCUCAUAAGUAAUGGACUGCACUAAAUGAUUCUGGUACCAAAUGGAAGCCAGAUUUUCAAACCAACAUCUCCCUUAGGCCUGGGAAGAUAUUUAGCCACAAUGGAGCUGCCAACUCCUGACUCCAGAGGAAAAACAAAGUUUCUUCAACCAACUGGGCACAUUUAAGCUGGAGUAGGAAGGGGCAUGGAGGAACACGGAAGGUCAUCUGCUCUCCUUUCAGGAAAGAAGAGGGUGUUUCAACCGUGGCCCCUGUAUGCCUCCCUGGGACACUUCUUGGAACCAGUUACCAGCGCCCUGCAAGCCCAACUCACAGGGAAGAAGAGAGACUAAAACCAGUGAACCCCACAUCAAGCAGGGUCAACAAUGUCUCAGCAACCACCAUCCAUGCGUGUGGCCUCUCUGUCUCGCUGGCCUCCUCUCUCUAGGGAUAUGGACCCCUGCCUGUACCCAGCUUUCCUCCACUCUUGGUCUGGAACUCAACCUGCAAUAUCGCUAAGGUGUGUCCAUGUUAUCGAUGUAAAGGUAUCACUUACAGCAGAUAUACAGGAGAAAGGAGGCCAGAAAGUCAAGGAUGGUGAGGUUUUGUAUUCUAUGAAGAAUUUCCUGCACACUCAGAGGGGAGGAGAACAGCAUGUGAAUGUGAAGAUGGAGGCAGAGAUGGAAGUGAUGUGUCUACAAGUCAAGGACUCCUGGCAACCACUACAAGCUGGGAGAGAGGUAUGGCACAGAUUUUCUCUCAGGGCUUCUGGAAGAAAUCAACCCUGCUGACACCUGAUUUCAGACUUCUGGCCUCCAAAACUGUGAAAGAAUAAACCCUUGUGUCUCUUAGUCACUAAAAUUGUGGUCAUCUGUCACAGCAACCUUAGGAAGCAAAAAGAGCAUUUCACGUGAAAA